AUGAGAUUUCCCCACCAACAUAACAACUUCAUCGCUUUGUCACAAAUUCUCAGAUUGAGAAACAAGAUUUUUAGGACUUGGGUGUGUUCCUUUGAGAUGGUCAGUGGCGGAUGGAUUGUUGACAUCUCUUCUGGUCCCAGUCUACAUCUCUUAAUACAGUGAUCAGCUCACUGAGGUUGAUGUUGACAUCUUUGAUUAGUUGCUGUCAACCUCUCCUGAAGAGCUGAUCCGGCUCACGGAGGUUGCAUGCUGCUUAUUAUUGAGCUGCAUCAGCACAGAGUGGCGGAAAGUCAAGAAAAAUCAACAUAUUGAACGGAAGCUUUGGAGAAAAAUUCCAUACAAAGAGUCCUUAAUGGAGAUGAUAGUUGGAGAUUAUUUUAAGCUUUGGAUCAACUAUUUCUGGUGGGAAGUAGCAAGUACCCGGUGUAUGCCAAGUUGGUCCCGACAACACGAUCAUUAAAAGAAACUAUUUCUGGUCACUUUCAUGUCAACAGCAAUUUUCUACAGGAAUCAACUUCCAUACCAAAGUGUGAUGAUGCAAUGAGUUUGAAUAGGUCUAGGGACGUGGCACAAACAUCAAAAUGCCUAUAUUGCAGUGGAAAACUACUCUCAGAAGAAUUUGAUUGAUCCUGUCAUCUUUACAUUAUCUUCGUACUUUAAAAAAAAAGUAUAUUCGUAUAG
This 681-nucleotide unclassified non-coding RNA is filed under the name Hevea brasiliensis (rubber tree). Lineage: Eukaryota; Viridiplantae; Streptophyta; Magnoliopsida; Malpighiales; Euphorbiaceae. The record is from RNAcentral.